This is an RNA transcript of Selaginella moellendorffii, 1311 nucleotides long. It is a transcript of the gene named nucleolin, with no coding region annotated. The record is from RefSeq and is a predicted model, not a curated record. Lineage: Eukaryota; Viridiplantae; Streptophyta; Lycopodiopsida; Selaginellales; Selaginellaceae. The transcript is spliced from 6 exons.
AUAUGAAGAUCCCCAGGCGCCCUAAUUGAGUCCUUCCAGGGUUUUAGCGUUUUCCCUCCCAAUGCAGGGAUGAUUUGGAGCCGGAGUGGAGGAGGAGGAGCCACAUUGCCAGCGGCGAUGGCGAAGGUGGCAUCCAGCGUCGCCGCGACGUGCUUCCCAGUGCUCAAGGGGCGGGUUUGGAGGAUCAAUCGGCUCGCUGCUCGAAUCUAUCCGCCACAGGUGUGUAGGGUAUCAAUCUCCCGGCAGCAGGUCAUUCCGGCAUGGUCGAGCUUGGCAUUCCGGGGAAUGGUGAGCACUGGCGCUGUGGCGAAGAAGGAGAAAAUAUUUCGAGUAGAAGAAAAAGACGAGGAAGAUGAGCUUGAUGACGAAGAAGACGAGGAAGAAAAUGAUGACGAAGAAGAAGAAGAAGAGGGUGACUCUCUGGAAGCCAGAAAAAAUUUUGCUGACAAUGACGAUGAUGAUCCGGGCGAGUUGGAAAUUAUAAAAAGGAUCAGUGCCGAAGACACCGGGACCGAAAACAAGAAACCGGGUCCAUGGAAGUCGAGAUUUCCACCAUUGAGUCAAAAAGAAAAGAAAGAGCUCCGUGGACAUGCACAUCGGCUGGGAAAAUCCAUUGCGCUUCAUCACGUAGGGAAGUGGGGAGUUACUCCUAACUCACUCAAGUGUUUGGGCGACGCUCUGGAGAAGAACGAACUUAUGAAGGUGAGGGUCCUUGACAAUUGUCCAACACAUAUAAGCCAAGUUAUGCUGGACUUGGAGCACGGUUUAGAGGCCCAAGUCGUUGGUAAGAUCGGUCACGUACUCCUUCUAUACAGGCCAAGCCUCCGGAAGGCAGAGAUGGACGAGAAGAAGCAGAAGGUCGAGAUGGAUCGAAAAAAGAGGCCACAUUCACGACAAGAACGCGGAUGGAAGGCACAUGGUUGCUGAUUGCUAGGCAUCUAUUGAUCUGUUUUUCUUCAAAAUAUCUUUGGAUCUUAAUCGCGGUGCUUGCUUCUUCAAUGGCGAGAGUCUCGGUCUCCAGUUUCCAGCGUCAUUUGUCUCGAUCAGUCGUAUAAGCUUUGCGUGGAGAGAAUUUUUUCCAGAGGAUCUGAACAAUCGUAGCUGUAGUCUUGAGAAAGACUAGCGACCAACGAGAGAUGGCGGUUUGUGAACACGGAAUCGCUCCUGACCACGUGCAAACACGCUUCUAUUCGAUGGGAUAUGAGCUAAGUGAUUCUUUUUCUUCUUUUUCUUCCAGAUUAAUGACCUGAAAGUUACAGAAGCGAACCGAGUGUUAUUAUCAACUUGUCUAGAUCAAAAAAAAUCAUCCAG